Molecule: ribosomal RNA, 440 nt
Filed under: uncultured bacterium
Lineage: Bacteria
Description: partial 16S ribosomal RNA
Rfam family: Bacterial small subunit ribosomal RNA
Source: RNAcentral
CCUACGGGCGGCAGCAGUGGGGAAUAUUGCACAAUGGGGGAAACCCUGAUGCAGCGACGCCGCGUGAAGGAAGAAGUACUUCGGUAUGUAAACUCCUAUCAGCAGGGAAGAAAAUGACGGUACCUGAAUAAGAAGCCCCAGCUAACUACGUGCCAGCAGCCGCGGUAAUACGUAGGGGGCAAGCGUUAUCCGGAUUUACGGGGUGUAAAGGGAGCGUAGGCGGCGAUGCAAGUCAGAAGUGAAAGCCCGGGGCUCAACUCCGGGACUGCUUUUGAAACUGUGUUGCUUGAUUGCAGGAGAGGUAAGUGGAAUUCCUAGUGUAGCGGUGAAAUGCGUAGAUAUUAGGAGGAACACCAGUGGCGAAGGCGGCUUACUGGACUGUAAAUGACGCUGAGGCUCGAAAGCGUGGGGAGCAAACAGGAUUAGAUACCCCUGUAGUG